This 759-nucleotide long non-coding RNA is filed under the name Nicotiana benthamiana. Its description in RNAcentral is "long non-coding RNA (NBEN_LNC005057)". The record is from RNAcentral. Lineage: Eukaryota; Viridiplantae; Streptophyta; Magnoliopsida; Solanales; Solanaceae.
AAGAGCUGCAUAAACAAAUCAAAACACUCAUGCUUCAAUUCAUUUAUUUGGCUGACAAAUUUUUAAAGGACGCAGACCAUUGACAGUAGCGGCAGUUUAACACGUUCUCUAGAGUAACACCAUAAAUUAACACAAUUUUAUUUUUGUUUGAAACAAACGCCAGAAAGUUUGUGUCGAAUCAGGAUGCUUUUUCUCUACUUCGAAAUUUCAUUGACGUGUGAUUUCACCUGCUAAUGUGUUUGUGCUUUGGGGGAACUAAGAGGUUGCUUUCACCUGCUAAUGUGUUUGUGCUGUGGGGGAACUAAGAGCUCUCUUCAAGCGACACAAAUUCCAAUAUAUUAAAAGCUAGUUAGAUUUUGAAGCUACUCGACAAGCAAAAGGUUUUGAACGUACAUAUGGAUAUUUAAGAGAGCUUUUGAGGGGAAGCAAAAAUCAAAGAAUCACUGUAAAGUAUAUAUGGCUUCAUAGUGUUACUUUUUCUUUGUGCAGUCACAAAGUUCGAGCAAGUCUAGACAUCUUUUGUAUACUCUAUACCUGUAGAAGAAAGGAAAACUUGUUCCUCUUUGAAGUAGAGGGAAAUAGAGAAUUCUAUCGAAGAGACUAAUGGAGUCCAUGUGCCAAACAAUGAACACUAAACAGGUUGCAGGAAUUCUUCUAAAGCACGUCAGAGGAACCUUGUUUGAAGGUAAUCUGCCCCGAAAAAAUUGGGAGUUCAUCUGCAUGAGAGAUGUUCCAAAAUCAACAUGCUGCCGCUGUAAA